RNAcentral lists this ribosomal RNA (543 nucleotides) under Acinetobacter sp. 5AGV. Its description in RNAcentral is "bacterial SSU rRNA". It matches the Rfam family "Bacterial small subunit ribosomal RNA", at positions 75 to 612 of the family's 1533-position model. Lineage: Bacteria; Pseudomonadati; Pseudomonadota; Gammaproteobacteria; Moraxellales; Moraxellaceae. The record is from RNAcentral.
GUAGCUUGCUACUUGACCUAGCGGCGGACGGGUGAAGUAAUGCUUAGGAAUCUGCCUAUUAGUGGGGGACAACAUCUCGAAAGGGAUGCUAAUACCGCAUACGUCCUACGGGAGAAAGCAGGGGACCUUCGGGCCUUGCGCUAAUAGAUGAGCCUAAGUCGGAUUAGCUAGUUGGUGGGGUAAAGGCCUACCAAGGCGACGAUCUGUAGCGGGUCUGAGAGGAUGAUCCGCCACACUGGGACUGAGACACGGCCCAGACUCCUACGGGAGGCAGCAGUGGGGAAUAUUGGACAAUGGGGGGAACCCUGAUCCAGCCAUGCCGCGUGUGUGAAGAAGGCCUUUUGGUUGUAAAGCACUUUAAGCGAGGAGGAGGCUACCGAGAUUAAUACUCUUGGAUAGUGGACGUUACUCGCAGAAUAAGCACCGGCUAACUCUGUGCCAGCAGCCGCGGUAAUACAGAGGGUGCAAGCGUUAAUCGGAUUUACUGGGCGUAAAGCGCGCGUAGGUGGCCAAUUAAGUCAAAUGUGAAAUCCCCGAGCUUAA